UACGUAGGGGGCGAGCGUUGUCCGGAAUUAUUGGGCGUAAAGCGCGCGCAGGCGGUUUCUUAAGUCUGAUGUGAAAGCCCACGGCUUAACCGUGGAGGGUCAUUGGAAACUGGGGAACUUGAGUGCAGAAGAGGAGAGUGGAAUUCCACGUGUAGCGGUGAAAUGCGUAGAUAUGUGGAGGAACACCAGUGGCGAAGGCGACUCUCUGGUCUGUAACUGACGCUGAGGCGCGAAAGCGUGGGGAGCGAACAGG
RNAcentral lists this ribosomal RNA (253 nucleotides) under uncultured bacterium. RNAcentral's name for it is "partial 16S ribosomal RNA". It matches the Rfam family "Bacterial small subunit ribosomal RNA", at positions 524 to 776 of the family's 1533-position model. The record is from RNAcentral.